UGGGGAAUUUUACACAAUGGGGGAAACCCUGAUGUAGCAACGCCGCGUGGAGGAUGACGGAUUUAGGUCUGUAAACUCCUUUUAUAAGGGAAGAAAUUUGACGGUACCUUAUGAAUAAGCACCGGCUAACUCCGUGCCAGCAGCCGCGGUAAUACGGGGGGUGCAAGCGUUACUCGGAAUCACUGGGCGUAAAGGGAGCGUAGGCGUUUUAUUAAUCUUGAGUGAAAGCUCGCAGCUCGACUGCGGAACUGCUCAGGAAACUGAUAGAAUUGAGUAUGGAAGAGGUAGGUGGAAUUUCCGGUGUAGGGGUAAAAUCCGUAGAUAUCGGAAGGAAUACCAGAAGCGAAGGCGACCUACUGAGACAUUACUGACGCUGAGGCUCGAAAGCGUGGGGAGCAAACA
RNAcentral lists this ribosomal RNA (402 nucleotides) under uncultured bacterium. RNAcentral's name for it is "bacterial SSU rRNA". It matches the Rfam family "Bacterial small subunit ribosomal RNA", at positions 355 to 774 of the family's 1533-position model. The record is from RNAcentral.